UAGUCAAUCUUCCCCUAAAGAACAAGUAUUAAAGCAUCAUCAAAUAAUGCAGAGAGGAAGAGAAAGCAAACGAAAAGCUCGGAAGUGAAAGCAAAGUCCGCCCAUCAACAUUAAUUUUUUCAUAAAAAUGAUGAAGUCGAUAUCCAUUAUGACAAACUCGGGGGAUUUGGCCUCUCCAAAAAGUAAAAGUAAAAGUUAAAAAAAAAAAAAAACUCUGGAGAGUUGGUUGUUUAUUUUAGUUUAAAUAAUGGACCCAAAUGUUUUUUUUUUUUUUUUGUAAUUGAACUUAACAAGUUCUAGACUUCUAGUUUAAAUGAUGGACCAAAAUGUUAUUUUCAUACACAGGUAUUAAACUCUGGACAAAAUGGAUCUAAACUAAAGUAGCGUUUACAUUUUGGAUUCGAAUGAGAAUCUUGAGGAGUGAGAAUUUUAGGAUUGGGAGUGUGGAGUGGAAGUAGGUUGUUUAUUUACAUUAGAAUGGGAGAAUGGAAUUGAAAUCAGAAUUCAAUUUAUGUGUUUACAUUGUCUUGGAUUGGAAGUAAAUAGUUUUAAAUUAUAAUUUUACUCUUAUUUAAAGAAUUAUAAUUUGUAAUUAAAAAAUUAAUAAAAAAUAUAUUUAAAAAAUAAAAUAAAUAUUUUAUUAUAUUUGUAAAUUAAUAAUAAUUAAUAAUAUUCUUAAUUAUGUAAAUCAUAAUUUUUAAUUAAUUUUAAUUUAAAUUAUGUGAAUAAAAAUUAUUAAUAAUAGCAACACAAAUGAAACAUUAUUAUUGAUAAUAUAGUACAAAAUUAAUAUUUUCUUAUAUUUUAUUAAAUAUUAUUUAUUUAUUUUAAUUAUGAGGGUAAAAAGGGAAGAGGGGGAGUGGAUUUCCACUCCCACCUCCCCCCAUGGGAGUGGGAAUCCCACUCCCCCUUUAAAAAUGGUAAGUAAACACUGGAGUGAGAGGAAUUCACACUCCCACUCAAGUGAGAGGAAUUCACACUCCCACUCCGGUAAACACAACAUAAAUGUACUGAUAUUCUGGCAUUCGACUGAGAGAGCCCGAACGAUAUGACAUCAUCAUUUCAGUUGAUGUUUUUUGAAAAUGCAAGAGAUGAUGAUUGAUCAUUGCCAAUUUUGCUUUCACUUCCCCGGAAGAGAAGGGGGGGUGGUGGAAAAAGAACAACUACUGAUGGAUAAUCUCCUCCACCCCGCGGUUCUUUCUCAGUGUUGCACAUUUCAUUACUCGUAUAAAGCUUUUGGAGUCCGGAAUAUAUUGCUUUCAGCUGUUGGAGUUUGUCUUUUCUUUUGAGUAUGAUGAAACGGUUACAUUCUUAGUCGUCUCGUCUAGUCCAUAAUUAUAUCUCGACAAUGAAAGUGGGAUUGCUUAAAUUUGUAAUUAUCAAAGUAGGUUAGUAAAUUCAUAGUCGACGUUUUAAUGCUAUUAUAGUGUGUUCUUAGAUUAUAUGUGGAAUCUCUUUUGAUAGA
RNAcentral lists this long non-coding RNA (1465 nucleotides) under Citrus sinensis (sweet orange). RNAcentral describes it as "long non-coding RNA (CSIN_LNC004096)". The record is from RNAcentral. Lineage: Eukaryota; Viridiplantae; Streptophyta; Magnoliopsida; Sapindales; Rutaceae.